UACGGGGGGAGCAAGCGUUGUUCGGAUUUACUGGGCGUAAAGAGCUCGUAGGCGGCCACUCAAGUCGAAUGUGAAACCUCGAGGCUUAACCUCGAGCCUGCAUUCGAUACUGGGCGGCUAGAGUCUGGUAGGGGGAUCUGGAAUUCCUGGUGUAGCGGUGGAAUGCGCAGAUAUCAGGAGGAACACCGGUGGCGAAGGCGGGAUCCUGGGCCAGUACUGACGCUGAGGAGCGAAAGCGUGGGGAGCAAACAGG
Molecule: ribosomal RNA, 253 nt
Filed under: uncultured bacterium
Lineage: Bacteria
Description: partial 16S ribosomal RNA
Rfam family: Bacterial small subunit ribosomal RNA
Source: RNAcentral